AUUCCAGUACUCUCUGGCUCGUCCGCAAGCCCUCGAGAUUCCCAUCUCUUUUCUCAUUAUCAAAGUCGAUCAGUGUACAAAUCUCCUGAAGAUGGAGAGGAGGCACUCAUCAAAUGGAACAAGGGCGUUGACCACCGAUGGUGGUGAGGUGAAGUCGAUGGUGGGGGCUGAAUUCGAGGUAUUCUUGAAUUUUAGAGGUCUCGAUACUCGACAGAAUUUUGCCGACUGUCUCUAUCACUCAAUGGACGGAGCUGGGAUUCGUGUUUUCAGAGACGAGGAAGAGAUCAAAAGAGGGGAAACAAUUGGAGGUGAACUGGAGCGCGUGAUCAAGAGUUCCACAAUCUGUAUGCCUAUCUUUUCAAGAAACUAUGCGUCCAAUCCAGACGAUGUCAAGCUCAAAACGGGACUAUAUCUCGACGCGUUGCAUAAGCACGAGCAGAAAUUUGGCUGUGCUGUUGCGCACCGAUGGAAGGAGGCGCUGAGAGAGGUCGCUCAUAUCAAAGGAUGGGAUUUGAAAGAAAAGGGGUAAGGGAACAGGGAACAUCAUAGCACUCAAACUAACUGGACUUUCCCAAGAUCACAACUUUACAAGGGAAGAGUUUUUGAGGCUGCCCAACUUAAGGUUUUUGGAGUUAGAGGGGGGAACAUGGUAGGAAACUUUAAGAAUCUUCUCUCGAGUUUAAGAUGGCUCUCUUGGCAUCGUUGUCCUUCAAACUUGCAGGCAGUCAAUCUAUAUUUAUGGAACUUAGUCGUGCUGAAGCUUUUGGACAGCGACAUUCCAGAAAAUUGGAAUGGAUGGAGCCCAAGCUUGGCGAACUGUAACUUGAAAGUAAUACAUCUCAUAAGAUGCCAUCUCUCGACAUUUCCUGACUUCUCGAUGUGCUUGGAUUUGAAGAUACUGGUUGUUAAUGAACAUUGUCCAAAGUCCCUACAAUCUGGUAGCUCUAUCAGUAAGCUAGAGCAUCUAAAGCGCUUGGAAAUAAUCGCAGACCAAGUUCAGCUGUCAAAGUUGUCCGCAAGCCUCCAUUUUGACAUGUUCUUUGUGCCUUUUGCCAUAUGCGGUCUAAAGCGCUUGUCAAGUCUAAAGUUAGAGGGACAGUGUAUACAGGGGCUUCAUUCAUCUAUUGGAGAGAUCGUGGGCUUGACAAGCUUGUCUUUAAAGGGUUGUCAUCGGCUUAGAAAGCUUCCAGAUU
Eucalyptus grandis is the source of this 1193-nucleotide RNA transcript. It is a transcript of the gene named TMV resistance protein N-like, with no coding region annotated. The record is from RefSeq and is a predicted model, not a curated record. The transcript has 4 exons. NCBI's taxonomy places the organism in Eukaryota, Viridiplantae, Streptophyta, Magnoliopsida, Myrtales, Myrtaceae.